AACGUACGCUGGCGGCACGCCUAACACAUGCAAGUCGAGCGAGGUAGCAAUACCUAGCGGCAGACGGGUGAGUAACAUGUGGGAAUCUGCCUUUUGGUUCGGAACAACACGGGGAAACCUGUGCUAAUACCGGAUAAGUCCUAACGGAGAAAGUUUUAAUGCCAAAAGAUGAGCCCGCAUUUGAUUAGCUAGUUGGUAAGGUAAAAGCUUACCAAGGCGACAAUCAAUAGCUGAUUUGAGAGGAUGAUCAGCCACACUGGGACUGAGAUACGGCCCAGACUCCUACGGGAGGCAGCAGUGGGGAAUCUUGCACAAUGGGCGAAAGCCUGAUGCAGCGAUGCCGCGUGAGUGAAGAAGGCCUUUGGGUUGUAAAGCUCUUUUGUCGGGAAAGAUAAUGACUGUACCCGAAGAAUAAGGUCCGGCUAACUUCGUGCCAGCAGCCGCGGUAAUACGAAGGGACCUAGCGUAGUUCGGAAUUACUGGGCGUAAAGAGUAUGUAGGCGGCUAGAUAAGUUAAUUGUGAAAGCCCAAAGCUUAACUUUGGAAUUGCAAUUAAAACUAUUUAGCUGGAGUAUGAUAGAGGAAAGCGGAAUACAUAGUGUAGAGGUGAAAUUCGUAGAUAUUAUGUAGAGCACCAGUUGCGAAGGCGGCUUUCUGGAUCAUUACUGACGCUGAGAUACGAAAGUAUGGGUAGCGAAGAGGAUUAGAUACCCUCGUAGUCCAUACCAUAAACGAUGAUUAUUAGAUGUGGGGAAUUAUUUCUCUGUAUCAUAGCUAACGCGUUAAAUAAUCCGCCUGGGGAGUACGACCGCAAGGUUAAAACUCAAAUGAAUUGACGGGGACCCGCACAAGCGGUGGAGCAUGUGGUUUAAUUCGAAGCAACGCGCAGAACCUUACCAACCCUUGACAUGUUUGUCGCGAGACUAAGAAAUUAGUCUCU
Molecule: ribosomal RNA, 940 nt
Filed under: uncultured bacterium
Lineage: Bacteria
Description: bacterial SSU rRNA
Rfam family: Bacterial small subunit ribosomal RNA
Source: RNAcentral